UUGUUUUGUUUUUUUUGUUUUUUUUUAAACACCUGCUGAAAUACUUCCAUUGGAAUUUUACGUCCUUUGGUCUUCUCAUCCCUUGUAACUUUUCAGGUGCACUGGAUUAUUUCCUAGGGCCCCCUGUAUGCAGUUCAUUCCACUUUCAUCAUAACCUUUGUUCCCCGUUUUCUCUGUAAAUAUGCAUACGAUUUGGUCACUGUAGUUUUCUCUCUGGACUAGGUAGCAUGAGAACAAGCUGGUUAUUAUUCAGGACCUUAUGUCAGACUACGCCUAGAGGUGCUCUAUUAAUAUCUGUUGAGUGAUUGAGCGCUUAGCUGCCUUAGAGACUUUAUUCCUUUCCUUCAUCUCUGUGAACUGUUAUGGUUAUUAAAAGUUACAAGAAGUUUGAUGAAGAGGUUGUCUUUUCAGCUCAAAAACAAUGAAGAUGACAGACCCAUCAUUUUAAUGACCAGUUGAGAUCUUACUAACAUGCACAUUCAGGAAUAUGAGCCUGAAGCCUUCUUGAUGUUUUUAACCAGAACUACAAUUUCUGCAUGUGAAGCAGAAAGACUCUUAACCUGGGAGUCAGGGAGCAUGUCUGGAUCCUGAGUCUAUCAUUUACUGACUCUGAGGAAGCCACUGAACCACUCUGAGCCACCUAACGCAUAGAAGUGACUGUCCUGCUUGCUUGUUGGGGUGAUUCUGUGGGAAUCAGAUGAGAUAAGGCGCCUGGAAUGUCAUGGGAAACUGGCAGUCCUCUGUCUCCUCCUGUUCCCAUUCUCCCACACUUCUGUCAACUCUCCUCCCGCUUUACUGUGCUCUGGAACCCAUCUGUCCUCUCUGUCUUCUGGGCCAGCGCUGCCCAGGAGUGGGCAUUCUUUUCCUGGCUUAUCAGGCUCCUAUCUCCCCGAUUCUAAGCUACUUGUCCCCUGGACCUACCCAGACUCUCUCCAGAAUGUGGUUUCUUCUCUGGUUAACACUCUUCAGUCCCCUCACCAUGUUAUUGUUUUUAGGUUAAAGUCGAUUUCCUUAACAUGAUGUAUAUGAGCUCUUCAUGAAAGAACGCCUCCAUAUUCUCCUCUUCAGCUUCAGUUCCCACUAGCCACUCUGCUUUCCAUGUUUACCACUUUUUUUGAGAGAGACCGACAGAGAGAGAGAGUGGGGGAGAGGCAGAGAGAGUGGGGGAGAGGCAGAGAGAGAGAGGGAGAGAGAGAAUCCCAAGCAGGCUCUGUGUUGUCAGCACACAGCCUGACUUGGGGCUCGAACUGUGAGAUCAUGACCUGAGCUGAAACCAAGAGUCAGACGCUUAACCAACCGAGCCACCCCGGCACCCCCAUAUUUCCCACUUUUGUUCGUCUUUCUCUGCAUGUGCCAGGAUUGUCUGCUUAGGAGGAAUCUCUGUUUCUCCCCUGGUACAUCAUCCUAACAUUUCGAUUGGACCAACAGGACCCUGUUCAGACAUUCCCUCCUGUAGAAGUCCUCCAUGAGGACCUUCCAAAGCUGGUUUUAACUGCUCUGUGUGGCCUGCCAUGUUGUCCUACAGCAGUUUUCUCGUGCUGGGCAGUAAGGCAGGGAAUGUGCGUUCUUCCUUGCCCUCGAUGCCAAGAAUCACAUAAAUGUUGGCUGGUUGAAUCAAUUCAUUAAUACUGAAACGUUUGAAAAAUGUGAGGGGAAAAUUCUGGCGCAUCAUCUGUCUUAGUAUUAGAAACAAAAUAGGAAACAUUCCCCUGCCCAUGUAUAAAGGUAUGAACUGUUCACAUCUGGGGUACUGUGCCUCAUUCCAGCUGUUCUCUAUAAAUAAUUUCUCAGGUGUUGAAUGCACAAAAAGUUUCAGUUAAGAUGAUGUGCCUCGGAAGGAGAAGCAGCUAUGCCAAGAAAUCCUAAAAUAAUUGGGAUUUACCCAGGAAAACUGUGUUUGGGAUGCAGCGCCACAAUAUUCUGCAAGAGGAAGUGACGUGGAUGUUUUCGACCAGAGCUAGGCCUUCAGGACGAGGGAUAGAGGAUUCAUCGCCUGGAAGAGUGGUACAAACUGAAAAUAUUAACCCAUUCGAGAAAAGCACUCAGAAACAGCGAUUGAGACAGAACUGAUUAUCAAGGUGAAAUGGUCUGAGUCUUUUGGCAUGGAGGCAUCCAAAUAAUGGAAAACUCCACUCUGCCGAUGCUGACGGGCAAAAUUUUGCGCCCCCCCCCCCCCCCCCCCCAGGACUUUCAUCCCCUGGUGCCAUGCCUGUCAAUGUGUUCCACUGCAUGGCAAAAAGAGACUUUGCAGAUGCAGUUAAGGUUACCACUCAGUGACCUUAACGGGAGAAUCGCCUGGAUUAUCCAGGUGGGCCCAUGUAAUCAUCGGAGCCUUUAAGAACAGAGCUUUCUCCCAGCUGCUGGUGAAGGCGAGGUCAGGGGGAGUCUAAGCUUGGGAAGGAGUCCGAGUGUUGCUGGCUUGAAGAUGAAGGGAGCCACUAGGAAGCCGUGAGAAGGAACUGAAUUUUGCCAACAACCUGAAUGAGCUGUCAAGCAGGUAUUCUUCCACGGUGUCCAAAUAAGAGCCUAGGCCAGUCAACACCUUGACUUAGGCCUUGUGAAAUACAUAUAUUUUUAAGUUUAUUUAUUUUUGAGAGAGAGAAAGAGAGAGAGAGCGAGCAUGUGCGCACAGGGAAGGGGCAGAGAGAGAAUCCCAAGCAGGCUCCACGCUGUUAGCAUGGGGCCCAAUGCAGUGCUCGAUCUCACGAACCCGUGAGAUCAUGACCUGAGCCAACAUCAAGAGACACUUAACCGACUGAGCCACCCAGGUGCCUCUAGGCCUUGUGAAAUCUUAAACAAAGGACACUGUGAGAUAAUAAAAGGGUAUUGUGUUAAGGUGCCAAAGUCAUGGUAAUUUGUUACAAUAGCUGUAGAAAACUACCACACCAACAAAACAAAAAAUGGUGCCGGAGCACGGGAGCUUUUUGGUGUGGGGACCUUUCUGUCAGGAAGACUUGAUUUCCAGUGGGCCUUGGUAUUGAAUGGACCAAGUUUGAAAACACUAGAAUUGAAUGUUCUUUCUGACAGCUGUAAAGUGUCUUUAUUUCUGGGUGAUCCAAGGUCUUUCCCUAACAUUGGAGCAUCAUAGUUGAUUCAAGGUAUGCCCCUGAGUGGGUCUCCAACUUCUAAGGCCUCCAGUGGAAAAAUCAAGACUGAUCAUACGUUAUUAUAUGCUGAAUUUGUACAGGAGUAGUUAGCAAUAAUCAGAGGAAUAAAGAUUGUUUUUGGUAGUAGAAUAUCAAAAGCUCAUUGUCAGUUUUUCCAAGUGUUGUGUAAAAGCAGGACAUCAGAGGUGUUUACUUCUUUUUAGUACUGUUUUUCUAAUAUUGCCUUUAUGAGAGCCAUUCUGUUUGUCGAGGCCCCCUUCAAAGCCUUGAAAUAUACUCUUUUUUUGUUAAUAAAAAUGGAGGAGUUGAUUCAAUGUCAUUUAAGAAAUACUGUACUCUUACUGGAAUUCUAAUUUUUUUAAAAUGUUUAUUUUUGAGAGAGAGAGAGAGAGCGUAAUCAGGGAAGGAGAUGAGAGGGGGAGACACAGAAUCCGAAGCAGGUCCAGGCUCUGAGCUGUUAGAGCAGAGCUCGAUGUGGGGCUCGAACUUGUGAACCUCGGGAUCAUGACCUGAACUGAAGUUGGACACUCAACCCACUGAGCCACCCAGGCGCCCCUCUUGUUGCAAUUCUCAAAGCCAUUUAUUUCGGUUGUGAAAUGCAGGACCGGCAAAAGUUAAGUCUGGGCUGUGCUUUGCCAAUGUGGUGAAUUUAUUUGUAUGAAAUAUUAAAACAGGCGACUUGGUAUGAGUUGGCUUGAAACAUUAGAACAGUUGAGUCUGCACGGGAUGAUGAUAGAGUCAGAAAUUAACAGAGCUAAUAACCCUACUUAAUCACUCACCUUUGUAGGAAUUAAGUAAUGACUGCCUGCAUCUUUCUAGAGGAAAAAUCAUGAAUUAUACAUUUAUUCCUCUCAAACAUAAAAUAACAAGCUCAUCAAUAAUUCUUUUAGUGACUAGUCAAAGAAUGAAAGUUAAAAAGACUGGCUACUGACUUGAUGGGCCACCGCUGCCGAUGAAGUUUACAAAGUUGACAGUGUUUUGUUCUGUUUUGUUUUUUUCUUGCUUGCUUUAGUUAUUUUAUAGGUGUAACAAAUGUGAGCUGUAAUCCUUAAUUUGGGAAUGAGUUUUAUUUGAUCAGGUGCAUUAACUUCGUCGUGCAGAGAUUGUCUACAUUUUCUUUUCUAAGCCAGUCUCUCUUUGGCAUCUUAGCAUAUUUGGUUUUUUUUCCGAAAGAAACAUGUACUUAGUCUGAGAGCAAAUUCAUUAUACGGUAGUGUUGGAAGGCCAGGCUAACACUACUAGCAAAUUGUCCACUAAACAGCUACUGAAUUGUCACCGUGCACUUCCUUUCUUCCUUGAUAUUAAACUUGGCACAAUCGUUAACCUGGAUCUGCUUCGCUUUUUUUUCUUUUCUUUCUUUUUCUAAAUAAUUUCACAUCUCUUCCUGCUGAGUGGAAACCUUUGGCUCUUGCUGUUCUACUGUCCUCCUUUACUUCUCUUAUUACUCCAGUUGUUCUUGGAGUGUUAGGAAUAUAUUUUUAGAAAGGAAAUAGAAACAAAAUCUUUAGGCUUAUCAUGUAAUCAUGUGAAAUUAUAUUGACUUACAAAGCCUUGUAAUUAAUUAUGCCAGAUAACUUGCUUUCUCCCCAUAAUCCUGUCAUCUGAGCCUGAGAGGUGCAAUUUGCCACUUCCCCGGUAAAUUACAAAAUGCGAAUCGGAAAAUGGCCCGCGUACGGCAGUGGAAGAAUUAUGGGAGGAAGAAAUAAUAAGAAGGAGCUGGCCUCUCAUUCACAGGUUCUUGUCUGGGGCUUUCUAAUCACUGAUGACUUUGGCUCCACCUGUGGAACUAUGCGGCCUGUGGGGCAAGUCACUUAACUUCCCUGGGUCUCUGACCUUUCGUCUCUAAAAUGCAAAUGGUAAUUCCCUAACUGAUAAGAUUUUCAUGAACUUUUAAGUGGGAUAAUGGAUGUAAGGCUUUGCCCGGAAGCUUGGCUAAACCCACUAACUGUUAACUGGCAUUUUUCUUUCUGCCCUGUGUGCGUGCUGAACGCUCACAGCCUCUGCCCGUCUCACUGGUAUUUGUCCCACCGUAGUGCCAAACAGGAUCUUUUCAUUUUGGGUUUUUGGUUUCCUAAGUGGAUUGGUAAGGGUCCUAAUAGGUAGGCACUUCUUUCUACUUUUCAUAUGUAAAUGCCCUCAGCAAAUGUCUGGGGGCUGGUAAUCCUGCUGCACUCGGACUUGACCAUUUAACUGGAGCUCUAAAUUCAGCUGCUCUUCGCGGAUGUAAAGGAGGGGAUUUGUUUUCAUGGUGUCACAAGCCUCAUAAGCUUCAUAAACUUCUUUUGUCACUUCAGAUUUAAAAAAGACAUCCCCCCCCCCCCCCCACUUUCUCUUUCCCUGCUGCAGUUGCACACUGCUGUUUGUGAGUAAAGUUGGAGCAGUCAUCUAAAUGUCUACAUGGUUUUUGGUGUUUCAUGGUGUUCCCUCUGUACUUGACUUCAGUUUCCAGAAUAUGUAACUACGAAAGAAAUCCUUAUCUGCACAAACUCCGGUGCCGUCUCACAGAGCUGGUCUUGACCUCCUAUGUCAAUAGGAUAAAAAAGGAGGAGACAGAGGAGGGGAGACCGAGAUUUGUGUACUGCUUAUAUAGCUGGCUCAAUUUGCUUUUCCUGCUUAAACACGACAAAGCAAAGACAAGCUAAAGUUACACACGUGACAGGGUGCAUUACCUUUUAAAGCGUAUCUCUGAGUGCCAAGAGGCAGGAUAGAUGCCGGGGGGAUUUCAAAAAGGUAUCAAGAAAGACAAACUUCUUAUGGAGAACUAUCAAGAUGGAUUUUAUUCAACUUCAGACCAUACGUCGGGUAUGUUCAAAUUCACUAGUGUUACAGAUGAAAAGUAGAAAGACAAGAGGAGAUUUAAAUACAAACGCAGAUUCUUUAGAAGGUAGAUGCAGAUACAGAGAAAGUUAAAUUUUGAAACUGAUGGGAUGUAGCCAAAACUGCAGGCAGAGGAAAAUUAGUAAACCUACAUGUUUUUAUUUUUAGACAAA
This is a long non-coding RNA of Leopardus geoffroyi (Geoffroy's cat), 6097 nucleotides long. RefSeq lists it as uncharacterized. Lineage: Eukaryota; Metazoa; Chordata; Mammalia; Carnivora; Felidae. The transcript is spliced from 2 exons. The record is from RefSeq and is a predicted model, not a curated record.